GACGAACGCUGGCGGCGUGCCUAAUACAUGCAAGUCGAACGCACAGUUUAUACCGUAGCUUGCUACACCAUAGACUGUGAGUUGCGAACGGGUGAGUAACGCGUAGGUAACCUGCCUGGUAGCGGGGGAUAACUAUUGGUAACGAUAGCUAAUACCGCAUAAUAUUAAUUAUUGCAUGAUAAUUAAUUGAAAGGUGCAAUUGCACCACUACCAGAUGGACCUGCGUUGUAUUAGCUAGUAGGUGAGGUAACGGCGCACCUAGGCGACGAUACAUAGCCGACCUGAGAGGGUGAUCGGCCACACUGGGACUGAGACACGGCCCAGACUCCUCCGUGGGGCAGCAGUAGGGAAUCUUCGGCAAUGGACGAAAGUCUGACCGAGCAACGCCGCGUGAGUGAAGAAGGUUUUCGGAUCGUAAAGCUCUGUUGUAAGAGAAGAACGGGUGUGAGAGUGGAAAGUUCACACUGUGACGGUAUCUUACCAGAAAGAGACGGCUAACUACGUG
This 505-nucleotide ribosomal RNA is filed under the name uncultured bacterium. Its description in RNAcentral is "partial 16S ribosomal RNA". It matches the Rfam family "Bacterial small subunit ribosomal RNA", at positions 28 to 507 of the family's 1533-position model. The record is from RNAcentral.